CAGCGCCCGAGCGAGUCUCAGCAUCCCGUCCCCUCGGGGCCGAGGGAGAGGCCCCCGUCCGUCCGCGCUCCUGUGUCCGGGCCGCCGCCGCUGCCAGACCAUGGGAUGUCGGCAAAGCUCGGAGGAGAAAGAGGCGGCGCGGCGGUCCCGGCGCAUCGACCGGCACCUGCGCUCGGAGAGCCAGCGGCAGCGGCGCGAGAUCAAGCUGCUCCUGCUGGGCACCAGCAACUCGGGCAAGAGCACCAUCGUGAAGCAGAUGAAGAUCAUCCACAGCGGCGGCUUCAACCUGGAGGCCUGCAAGGAGUACAAGCCGCUCAUCCUCUACAACGCCAUCGACUCGCUCACCCGCAUCAUCCGCGCCCUGGCCGCCCUCAAGAUCGACUUCCACAACCCCGACCGCGCCUACGACGCCGUGCAGCUGUUCGCGCUGACCGGCCCGGCCGAGAGCAAGGGCGAGAUCACGCCCGAGCUGCUGGGCGUCAUGCGGCGGCUGUGGGCCGACCCCGGCGCGCAGACCUGCUUCGGCCGCUCCAACGAGUACCACCUGGAGGACAACGCGGCCUACUACCUGAACGACCUGGAGCGCAUCGCCGCGCCCGACUACAUCCCCACCGUCGAGGACAUCCUGCGCUCCCGGGACAUGACCACGGGCAUCGUGGAGAACAAGUUCACCUUCAAGGAGCUCACCUUCAAGAUGGUGGACGUGGGCGGGCAGCGGUCCGAGCGCAAAAAGUGGAUCCACUGCUUUGAGGGCGUCACGGCCAUCAUCUUCUGCGUGGAGCUGAGCGGCUACGACCUGAAGCUGUACGAGGACAACCAGACGAGCCGGAUGGCGGAGAGCCUGCGCCUCUUCGACUCCAUCUGCAACAACAACUGGUUCAUCAACACGUCGCUCAUCCUCUUCCUGAACAAGAAGGACCUGCUGGCCGAGAAGAUCCGGCGCAUCCCGCUGUCCGUCUGCUUCCCCGAGUACAAGGGCCAGAACACCUACGAGGAGGCGGCCGUCUACAUCCAGCGGCAGUUCGAGGACCUGAACCGCAACAAGGAGACCAAGGAGAUCUACUCCCACUUCACCUGCGCCACCGACACCAGUAACAUCCAGUUCGUCUUCGACGCCGUGACCGACGUCAUCAUCCAGAACAACCUCAAGUACAUAGGCCUCUGCUGAGGGGCCGGGCCGCCGUCUGCCCGUGACGGAACCCGGGGCCCGCCCCAGCCCCGCUCGUGCUGGGGAGACCCCGCGCAGGGCCAGAAAACGGGGCCUGCAGAACGUCCCCCGCCCCGCCCCGCCCCUCCGCCUCCUUGGCCCCCACAUUUCCACAGACAUAACCAUGUUCGGAUAGGCUGCUAGGUGGUCCUUUUCGUGUCUGGCUUGCUGAGUGUCACAGUUGUCAUCCGGCCCGUCCCUGCUCCUGCUCCUGGUGCGGUUUCUGCUUCGUUUUUGUUUCAGAAAAUUCAACGUGACGUAUUUAAAGGCGGUUCUUCCCCUCGGGGCGAAGGAACACAGCUAACUGUCUGGUGGUUAGAGGGGGUUCCCUGGCUUUGCGAGGAGGGGAAGGGGAGGCGGGAGGCGGGCCCUGGCCGCACCGCGCCGAGGCUGAGAGCCGCUCUGCCUCCUGUGAAGGCUCAGCCGGCCUGGGAGCCUGAGGGAGGCCCUGCCGGGACCCCAGCCCCCGCCCUGGCCCAGGGCCCGUGGCACCUGCCGCCGUGGGAGGACCUUGGCCGAGGAUCGCAUGUAAAUACGAACCCUGCCACCGAGAGGGAAGGCGCCCCGAGACCUUGCCAGAGCUCCUCUCCGCCUCCGUUCGGUACCGUGUGCCCGAGGUCGGCGCCGAAGCACAGCCGAGGACUUGGAGAGACGCACAGAGGGACGCGGGGCCGGUGUGGUGUGGAAGUCAGAGAUUGUCUACUUUCAGAAAAUAAAAUGUCCCG
RNA transcript from Eptesicus fuscus (big brown bat), 1932 nucleotides. It is a transcript of the gene named G protein subunit alpha z, with no coding region annotated. NCBI's taxonomy places the organism in Eukaryota, Metazoa, Chordata, Mammalia, Chiroptera, Vespertilionidae. The record is from RefSeq and is a predicted model, not a curated record. The transcript has 3 exons.